This 77-nucleotide transfer RNA is filed under the name Diaphorina citri (Asian citrus psyllid). It matches the Rfam family "tRNA". Rfam says of the family: Transfer RNA (tRNA) molecules are approximately 80 nucleotides in length. Their secondary structure includes four short double-helical elements and three loops (D, anti-codon, and T loops). Lineage: Eukaryota; Metazoa; Arthropoda; Insecta; Hemiptera; Psyllidae. The record is from Rfam by way of RNAcentral.
GCUCCCAUGGCGUAUUAUGGUGGUCACUGCGCUCGCCUUGCACGCGGGAGACCCGGGUUCGAUUCCCGGCGGGGUUA